RNAcentral lists this ribosomal RNA (676 nucleotides) under uncultured bacterium. RNAcentral's name for it is "bacterial SSU rRNA". It matches the Rfam family "Bacterial small subunit ribosomal RNA", at positions 8 to 694 of the family's 1533-position model. The record is from RNAcentral.
AGAGUUUGAUCCUGGCUCAGGACGAACGCUGGCGGUGUGCUUCACACAUGCAAGUCGAGCGAAUGAAGUAGGUAGCUUGCUACUUAUGGAUUUAGCGGCGGACGGGUGAGUAAUAUAUAGGAAUCUGCCCUAGAGCGGGGAACAACAGACCGAAAGGUUUGCUAAUGCCCCAUAGGUACGCAGUCUUCGGAUUGUUUAUUAAAGGAGUAAUCCACUCUAGGAUGAGCCUGUAUCCGAUUAGCUAGUUGGCGGGGUAAAGGCCCACCAAGGCUACGAUCGGUAGUUGGUCUGAGAGGAUGAUCAGCCACAAUGGGACUGAGACACGGCCCAUACUCCUACGGGAGGCAGCAGUGGGGAAUUUUACACAAUGGGGGAAACCCUGAUGUAGCGACACCGCGUGAACGAAGAAGCCUUUUGGGGUGUAAAGUUCUGUCGGCUGGAACGAAAAAAAUGACGGUACCAGCAAAGGAAGCAUCGGCUAACUACGUGCCAGCAGCCGCGGUAAGACGUAGGAUGCAAGCGUUGUCCGGAUUUAUUGGGCGUAAAGAGUUCGUAGGCGGUCAUUUAAGUCUGAUGUUAAAUACUGUGGCCCAACCACAGAACUGCAUUGGAUACUGGAUGACUUGAGUGCGGUAGAGGCAAGUGGAAUUCCCAGUGUAGCGGUGAAAUGCGUAGA